AUUGAACGCUGGCGGCAUGCUUUACACAUGCAAGUCGAACGGUAACAGGCCUUCGGGUGCUGGCGAGUGGCGAACGGGUGCGUAAUGCAUCGGAACGUACCCAGAGGUGGGGGAUAACGCAGCGAAAGCUGUGCUAAUACCGCAUGUGAUCUGAGGAUGAAAGCGGGGGACCGAGCAGCAAUGUUUGGCCUCGCGCCUUUGGAGCGGCCGAUGUCGGAUUAGCUAGUUGGUGGGGUAAAGGCCUACCAAGGCGACGAUCCGUAGCUGGUCUGAGAGGACGACCAGCCACACUGGGACUGAGACACGGCCCAGACUCCUACGGGAGGCAGCAGUGGGGAAUUUUGGACAAUGGGCGCAAGCCUGAUCCAGCAAUGCCGCGUGCGGGAAGAAGGCCUUCGGGUUGUAAACCGCUUUUGGCAGGAACGAAACGGUGUCCGCUAAUACCGGGCGCUAAUGACGGUACCUGCAGAAUAAGCACCGGCUAACUACGUG
Molecule: ribosomal RNA, 492 nt
Filed under: uncultured bacterium
Lineage: Bacteria
Description: partial 16S ribosomal RNA
Rfam family: Bacterial small subunit ribosomal RNA
Source: RNAcentral